This 701-nucleotide long non-coding RNA is filed under the name Gallus gallus (chicken). RNAcentral's name for it is "lncRNA (ENSGALG00010007285.1)". Lineage: Eukaryota; Metazoa; Chordata; Aves; Galliformes; Phasianidae. The record is from RNAcentral.
AUGGGGAUGGCUGCUGAGGUCAUUUCAGCUAUUUCAUCAGCUGUCUUGGUGAAAAAGGGGCUCCGUGCUGAGUACCAAAGAUGGAAUGGGAAUGUUCCUUCACUGCCAGUAAACUUGUUCAGCUUCCCAGUUUGCACAGUUGUGAAACGUCACCUUGCACUGUGUCCACUCGUGUGUGAAGGGAAGCGUGGAGCAGAAGUGUGGGUUGCCCAGACACAAGCAGGCAAAGUGAAGAGUUCCCCUUCUGCAGCCCCAUGUGCUGCUGCAGUGUGGUGUAAUGCUGAGGCACAGCCAUUUGCAGGCAUCUCCGAGCUUUUUUUUUUUUUGGCUCUGUCUCUGUGGAGCUUUCAUAUGGCUGUUGCCCUCCCUCCUUCAUGUGGGACUGUGGGCUCUCCUAAGCUUUUUGUUCCAGCUGGUCAGCUAGCAGCUGUCACUUGCUGGGGAUAGCAGACUGGUGGAUUGAAGCCCCCAGCUGUGGACCCUGCCGUGGCUCCCUGUGGUACAGAGCUGGGAGGCUCAGCACUGCUCUGCAGCCCCUCUUGGCCACCUGGCUCCAGCUCCACCAGCAUGCCUGCAGGCUGGGGCCAUCCUUGUUACUCCAGGAGUACAUCAGCAUUUGCUCAGGACUGUAGAAGAGCUGGAGAGUGAGAGAGUGACAUCAGUAAUUCAUGAAUUAUCCUCCUGAGAAACAUUAUCCUUCC